UCACACCAUCCCCCUACAUUUCUGCCUUCAGAGACGUUGAGAGUCCACGUUUACACGCUGAAUCCUAUUUCCACGGCGAUGCAUCCGUUACGUGAAGACUCCUUGACGCGGACUGCUUUGAAAACCGUUACGGAAAGCAUCAAUAUAAAUAGCAACUUUGCAAACCCUGCAGAGGUUCCACGCUUCCACGUUUGCACGCUUUUUCCAGAUUUCGGCAGUUUCCAAUUUUCUUUUCUUCAGCAGUUUAAG
This 249-nucleotide long non-coding RNA is filed under the name Lathyrus oleraceus (garden pea). RNAcentral's name for it is "Pisum sativum (pea) long non-coding RNA (PSAT_LNC003144)". The record is from RNAcentral. Lineage: Eukaryota; Viridiplantae; Streptophyta; Magnoliopsida; Fabales; Fabaceae.